This 599-nucleotide ribosomal RNA is filed under the name Pseudoalteromonas neustonica. RNAcentral describes it as "bacterial SSU rRNA". It matches the Rfam family "Bacterial small subunit ribosomal RNA", at positions 84 to 696 of the family's 1533-position model. Lineage: Bacteria; Pseudomonadati; Pseudomonadota; Gammaproteobacteria; Alteromonadales; Pseudoalteromonadaceae. The record is from RNAcentral.
CGGUUGGAUUAGUGGCGAACGGGUGAGUAUCACGUGAGUAACCUUCCCUUAACUCUGGGAUAAGCCCGGGAAACUGGGUCUAAUACCGGAUACGACCAGUCCUCGCAUGGGGUGCUGGUGGAAAGAUUUAUCGGUUUUGGAUGGACUCGCGGCCUAUCAGCUUGUUGGUGAGGUAAAGGCUCACCAAGGCGAUGACGGGUAGCCGGCCUGAGAGGGUGACCGGCCACACUGGGACUGAGACACGGCCCAGACUCCUACGGGAGGCAGCAGUGGGGAAUAUUGCACAAUGGGCGAAAGCCUGAUGCAGCGACGCCGCGUGCGGGAUGACGGCCUUCGGGUUGUAAACCGCUUUCAGCAGGGAAGAAGCGCAAGUGACGGUACCUGCAGAAGAAGCGCCGGCUAACUACGUGCCAGCAGCCGCGGUAAUACGUAGGGCGCGAGCGUUAUCCGGAAUUAUUGGGCGUAAAGAGCUCGUAGGCGGUUUGUCACGUCUGCUGUGAAAGCCCGGGGCUCAACCCCGGGUGUGCAGUGGGUACGGGCAGACUAGAGUGCAGUAGGGGAGACUGGAAUUCCUGGUGUAGCGGUGAAAUGCGCAGAUA